Molecule: ribosomal RNA, 3270 nt
Filed under: Pinus taeda (loblolly pine)
Lineage: Eukaryota; Viridiplantae; Streptophyta; Pinopsida; Pinales; Pinaceae
Description: eukaryotic LSU rRNA
Rfam family: Eukaryotic large subunit ribosomal RNA
Source: RNAcentral
CCUUGGCUCAGGUGAGAACACCCGCUGAGUUUAAGCAUAUAAUUAACCGAAGGAAAAUAAACUUACAAGGAUUCCCCUAGUAGCGACGAGCGAACCGGGAAGAGUCCAGCAUGAAAAUCGGGCGGCAGUGUCGCCUGAAUUAUAAUCUGUAGAAGCGUCCUCAGCGGCGGACCUGGGCCAAGUCCCUUGGAAGGGGGUGCCUGAGAGGGUGACAGCCCCGUCGUCCUGGGACCCUACCACAUCACGAGGUGUGGUCAGCGAGUCAGGUUGUUUGGGAAUGCAGCCCUAAUUGGGUGGUAAAUUCCGUCCAAGGCUAAAUACGGGCGAGAGACCGAUAGCGAACAAGUACCGUGAGGGAAAGAUGAAAAGGAAUUUGAAAAGAGAGUUAAAGAGUGCUUGAAAUUCCUGAGAGGGAAGCAGAUGGAGGCUGUCAGUGCGUCUCAGUCGGAUGUGGAAUGGCUCAGGCCAGUCCGCCGCUCGACUUGAGGUGCAAACCAACACGGGAUGCCGCAUCAUCACAAGCACGGGUGGAUUGCCACCUAUCAGUUUGAAGCUGCGGUGGUCGAGGAAUGAAGCAUGCACCCUUGUGGUGGGCUGUGUGUACCUACGCGCUCAUGGUGUUGGUCGGCGGGCUUUCCAUUUGACCCAUCUUGAAACACAGACCAAGGAGUCUAACAUGUGUGCGAGUCGACGGGUUUUAAAACCUGUGAGGCACAAUGAAGCUGAUGGGCGUCGACCGACCUUGAGCUUAUGCUAAGGGUUCGAGUGCGAGCACACCUAUUGGGACCCGAAAGAUGGUGAACUAUACCUGUGCAGGGUGAAGCCAGAGGAAACUCUAGUGGAGGCUCAUAGCGAUACUGACGUGAAAAUCGUUCAUCUGAGUUGGGUAUAGAGGUGAAAGACUAAUCGAACCAUCUAGUAGCUGGUUUCCUCUGAAGUUUCCAUCAAGAUAGCUGGAGCUCACGCGCGAGUUUUAUUAGGUAAAGCAAAUGGUUAGAGGCAUCGGGGGCGUAACGCCCUCGACCUAUUCUCAAACUUUAAAUAAGUAAGAGGGUGUGGCUAUUCCAUUGAGCCGCGCCGUGGAAUCGAGAGCUCCAAGUGGGCCAUUUUUGGUAAGUAGAACUGGCGAUGCGGGAUGAACUAAAAGUUGAGUUACGGUGCCGAAUUGCGUGCUAAACUAGAUCCCACAAAGGGUGUUGGUUGAUUAAGACAGUAAUACGGUGGUCAUGGAAGUCGAAAUCUGCUAAGGAGUGUGUAACAACUCACAUGCCGAAUCAAAUAGCCCCAAAAAUGGAUGGCACUAAAGCACGCAACCUAUACUCGACUAUCGGAGCAAUUGUCUGGCUCCGAUGAGUAGGAGGAUGCGGGGGCCGUUGAGAAACCUCUGGUGUGAGCUUGGGUGGAUCAGCCCCUGGUGCAGAUCUUGGUGGUAGUAGCAAAUAUUCAAAUGAGAACUUUGAAGACUGAAGUGGGGAAAGGUUCCAUGUGAAUAGCACUUGGACAUGGGUUAGUCAAUCCUAAGAGAUGGGGAAGCCUUGUAUCAAGGGUGCACUUUGUAUGAGCAUCGAAAGGGAAUCAGGUUAAUAUUCCCGAAUCGGGACAUGGCGGCGGGCGGCAACGUUAGGAAAUUUGGAGACGUCGUUGGGGCCUCAGGAAGAGUUAUCUUUUCUUUUUAACAACUUGACCACCUUGGAAUCGGUUCACCCAGAGAUAGGGUCCAACAGCUCGAAGAGCACCGCACGUCUUGCGGUGUCCGGUGCGCCCUCGACAGCCCUUGAAAUCUGGAGGACCGAGUAUUGUUCAUGCUCGAUCGUACUCAUAACCGCACCAGGUCUCCAAGGUGAAUAGCCUCUGGUCAAUAGAAAAAUGUAGGUAAGGGAAGUUGGAAAAAUGGAUCUGUAACUUUGGGGAAAGGAUUGGCUCUGAGGGCUGGGCCUAGGGGUCUGCGCCCUCAACUCGUGGGCUGUCAGUAGUCUUCCCGAGCUGCUCUCGCGGCGAGGGUGGGCAGUCAUGUGCAGAUUGGGCUACGGGCGUAGAAUGCCCCCUGCCGGGGGAUUUUCCCUAGGCAUCAAACAGUCGAAUCAGAACUGGUACGGACAAGGUGAAUCCGACUGUUUAAUUAAAACAAAGAAUUGCAAUGGUCCCUGCGGAUGCUAACGCAAUGUGAUUUCUGCCCAGUGCUCUGAAUGUCAAAGUGAAGAAAUUAUACCAAGCACGGGUAAACGGCGGGAGUAACUAUGACUCUCUUAAGGUAGCCAAAUGCCUCGUCAUCUAAUUAGUGACGUGCAUGAAUGGAUUAAUGAGAUUCCCACUGUCCCUAUCUACUAUCUAGCGAAACCACAGCCAAGGGAACGAGCUUGGCAGAAUCAGUGGGGAAAGAAGACCACUACUUUUAACGUUAUUUUACUUAUUCCGUGGGGUGGAAAUGGGGCACUGCCCCUAUUUUUGGCCUUAAGGCACAUUUCGGUGGGUCGAUCUGGGCGGAAGACAUUGUCACAUGGGGAGUUUGGCUGGUGUGGCACAUCUGUUAAAAGAUAACGCAGGUUUCCUAAGAUGAGCUCAACGAGAACAUAAAUCUCAUGUGGAACAAAAGGGUAAAAUCUCAUUUGAUUUUGAUUUUCAGUAUGAAUACAAACCGUGAAAGCAUGGCCUAUCAAUCCUUUAGAUUUUUGGAAUUUGAAGCGAGAGGUGUUAGGAAAGUUACCACAGGGAUAACUAGCUUGUGGCAGCCAAGCAUUCAUAGCGACGUUGCUUUUUGAUCCUUCGAUGUUGGCUCUUCCUAUCAUUGCGAAGAAGAAUUCACCAAGUGUUGGAUUGUUCACCCACCAAUAGGGAACGUGAGCUGGGUUUAGACUGUCAUGAGACAAGUUAGUUUUACCCUAUUGAUGAACCACACCGCAAUAGUAAUUCAACUUAGUACGAGAGGAACCAUUGGUUCACACAAUUGGUCAUCGCGCUUGGUUGAAAAGCUAGUGGCGCGAAGCUACAAUGUGUCAGAUUAUGACUGAACGCCUCUAAGUCAGAAUCCACGCUAGAAGCGGUGCAUGUCACUCUUUGACUGUAUCUCGACCCGCAGUAGGGGCGUCACUUUGUCACCCCCAGGGGCUGUGUCAUUUGCAAACCGCGACCGUGAAGCAUCUCGGUUGGGGCAGCUUUGAAGUUCAAUUCCAAACGGUCGUUGAGAAGAAUCCUUUUUAGAUGACUUAAAUACGCGACAGGGUAUUGUAACUAGCAGAGUGGCCUUGCUGCCACGAUCCACUGAGAUUCAGC